Molecule: unclassified non-coding RNA, 522 nt
Filed under: Hevea brasiliensis (rubber tree)
Lineage: Eukaryota; Viridiplantae; Streptophyta; Magnoliopsida; Malpighiales; Euphorbiaceae
Source: RNAcentral
CACACACGCGCGUUACACACCACUCCCCAGCAGCGGCAAAGCAGCCAGCGAGAGAUCGAGGCAAGGCAACCGCCAUGGCCACCGUCAGCGCCGCCGCGGCGACCUCCGUCGUUGCCCGCGCCGUCCUCGCCGGGCCACUUGGGCUGCCGCAGAUGAGGGCGAGGAGGAGCGAGAGGGUGAGGUGCAACUACUCCAAGGAGGCGGCGACACCGGCGGCGGCCGUCAAGGGAGCCGGCGCGUCGCUACUGGCGAUGGCGGCGACGGCGGCGCCCGCGAUGGCGCUCGUCGACGAGAGGAUGUCGACGGAGGGCACCGGGCUCAGCCUCGGGCUGAGCAACAACCUGCUGGGGUGGAUCCUGCUCGGGGUGUUCGGCCUCAUCUGGUCGCUCUACACCAUCUACACCUCCGACCUCGAGGAGGACGAGGAGUCCGGCGGCCUCUCGCUCUAGAGAGCCUCUCACAUGCUAAAACAUCUCUCAGAAUAGGAACAGUUUAGAUACAACACAGCCAUGUACGUUCUCC